This is a long non-coding RNA of Leopardus geoffroyi (Geoffroy's cat), 1152 nucleotides long. RefSeq lists it as uncharacterized. NCBI's taxonomy places the organism in Eukaryota, Metazoa, Chordata, Mammalia, Carnivora, Felidae. The record is from RefSeq and is a predicted model, not a curated record. The transcript has 4 exons.
GUCACUUUGGGCAGCGGCUUCGCCCGGAAGGGCACCUUGAUGUUUGCCGUGUGGCCCACCUUCACAGUCACGGGGUGCGCGGCCAGCGCCUCCAGCACCGACGGGUCGAUGCCCUUGCCUCGGACCUCCUUGCCAUCCUUCAGCCACACGCCCUCCACCUUCUCGUCGUUCAGCACCACGCACAGUUCAGCUGGGCUCCCGGUGGCCGCAUGCACGUCAGACAUCCCGCUCUUCACCGUGGCCAGACGCUCUGGGGGAGAAAGGGAGCAGGUGCCGGACUGAACCUGAGGAAACCGGUGAAUUAGGCUGAGGAAACCGGUGAAUGUUGGUAUCUGCAACAUGGCACUCACAGUCCAGUGGGGUCUCGGAAUGAAUGAAUUUGUGGUCUGGAACCAGAGGUUGCAGAAGCUGGUUAGAUCUAAGGAUGAUCAGCCCUUGGCCAGAGUCUUCUAGAAGUGUUCCCUGAAGAGCCCAGGAACCCUGACCUUCACCCCCCUUCGCUAGGAUUAGUUCCUCCCUUGGUGCCUGGCCUGCCGAUUUAACCUGGCUCCACCCACUACGGCUACGCCCCCUUCUAGCCACGCCCAUAGCCUUGGCCUCCCUUCCCUUUUGGCUCUCUCACCUUCUGGAAGAGAUGGGUCUCCUGCCCCUCCUUGGCUUUGCCCUAGUUCUGCUUCGCCUCACCCCUAAUUUUGGUCUCCUGCCCACUUUAGCAACACCCCAACUCCUGAUUAGGCCUCUCUUAUCCUGCCCCUCCUCUAGGGCAACGACAGCUUCUUUCCCCAUGGCCCUUCUUGGUUCGUUCAGUUGUGGCUCUCUUGUCCGUGAUGGGGCCGGCAGCAUGCCCUGGGGUCCCUGCCUCUGGCCUCGUCCGUAACUGGCUCUCUGGCUCGGGUCCCCGCACCUUCAGCACGUGCUCCUUGUUGAUGCUGUCGUAGAACAUUUUGGCCGACUCCUUGAUGGGGAUGCCGCUCUCUCUCUUCCAGGAGAUGUUGGGUUUGGGGUUCCCCUGCACCCGGGCUCGGAACACAGCUUUAUCCCCUGCAGUGGGCACGGGACACAAGUUCACCUCUUAGCCUCCAGGUCGGACCUUCGGACCCUGCCUCCUCCCAGGGGUCUCAUGUCCACCCUGGCAGGGGAGCACCCCUGGGC